AAACCAACAGGGAUUGCGCUCAGUAACGGCGAGUGAAGCGGCAAAAGCUCAAAUUUGAAAUCUAGCACCUUCGGUGUUCGAGUUGUAAUUUGAAGAUGGUAACCUUGGGUUUGGCUCUUGUCUAUGUUCCUUGGAACAGGACGUCAUAGAGGGUGAGAAUCCCGUCUGAUGAGAUGCCCAUUCCUAUGUAAGGUGCUUCGAAGAGUCGAGUUGUUUGGGAAUGCAGCUCUAAGUGGGUGGUAAAUUCCAUCUAAAGCUAAAUAUUGGCGAGAGACCGAUAGCGAACAAGUACAGUGAUGGAAAGAUGAAAAGAACUUUGAAAAGAGAGUGAAAAAGUACGUGAAAUUGUUGAAAGGGAAGGGCAUUAGAUCAGACUUGGUGUUUUACGAUUUCUUCUCUUCUUGAGUUGUGCACUCGUAUUUCACUGGGCCAGCAUCGAUUCGGAUGGCAAGAUAAUGGCAGUUGAAUGUGGCUUCACUUCGGUGGAGUGUUAUAGCUUCUGCUGAUAUUGCCUGUCUGGAUCGAGGGCUGCGUCUUUUGACUAGGAUGCUGGCGUAAUGAUCUAAUGCCGC
Molecule: ribosomal RNA, 572 nt
Filed under: Hansenula anomala
Lineage: Eukaryota; Fungi; Ascomycota; Saccharomycetes; Phaffomycetales; Wickerhamomycetaceae
Description: Wickerhamomyces anomalus partial large subunit ribosomal RNA
Rfam family: Eukaryotic large subunit ribosomal RNA
Source: RNAcentral